Non-coding RNA from Cicer arietinum (chickpea), 181 nucleotides. The record is from RefSeq and is a predicted model, not a curated record. Lineage: Eukaryota; Viridiplantae; Streptophyta; Magnoliopsida; Fabales; Fabaceae.
UACAAUACAAUUAUACAAUACAAUAUGGAUACUAAAAGAAUUUCUACUCUCACAAUGGUGUUUCUAUUGGCUUUCUUUGUUAUUGCAUCAGAUAUGUGUCAAGAAUCUGAAGGAGCAAGUGGAUACUAUUCAGGUUACGCAUGUAAAUCAGAUGGAGUAUGUCUACCCAAUUGUCCUAGAG